AGCGAACCCUCGGCUAUAACUCAGGCGCGGCGCUGGCUGUGCGCAUUCCCGGCUGCGGACCCGGAGAGCCUCCGAGGGGAAAAAUCCGAGGGCUCCCGUCACAGCCCACCUCCACCGGCACAACAUCCGCGAGGACCUCGGCCCGAGCUUUCCUUUUCCUUUUUCCUUUUCUUAUUUUAUCUUCCCCUUUUCCCUGACGAGGAGGAGAUACUCCCCCCUCCCCAGUCCCUUCGCAGAGGUGGGAGCCCCAAGUUCCACUCCGCUCAGAGACGGCGGAUAACCGCGCCGCCUUGUCAGCCGCCGCCUCGUUACAGGACCCAUUUGCCGCAUCGCGGAGUCAUCGCGGCGCUGACGGAUGGGCCGGGACCCCCGCGCCCCCCGCCCGAAGCGGGGAGGAAUGCGGCGGGCGGAGCCCCGCGCCCGGCCCGCUCCCCGCCGGCGGCGAUUUACGGUCUGUGUACGUUUGCUGGCUCCAGAUAUCGGCAGCGUAAUGGAUGGCUCUAUUUUAUGAAUCCGAGCCUCGGAUUCGAGGCGAUCGGGAGUCCCUUCCUUGUAUGGUGCACUCCUGUCUCAGCCCUAAGCCGCCCCGCAGGCAAUAAACCUCCCCGCGAAAUGUGCCGGGAGAUAACGGUCGACUUUAUUGAUUGCGAGAAAACGCUGGAUACCAAAUAAAGGGCUUUUAUGAGGAUCCCUGCGAAGAGCCCUUUCUCCGCGGCCAUUAGCGCGAUAUUGACGUUUUACUGCGAGUAAACUGUGAACUCGUUCGGCCCUAAAACCUCGGAGCAGGCGGGGAGCGGAGCGAGGAGCUGCAGAGCCCAGAGCCCCCGCUCCUCCCCGGGGCACGGAGACACAGAGGGGGCACCGCGGGACCCUCCCGGGAUGCUCGGGGAUCGACAAAGCCCUGCCUGCAUGAGGGAUGCACAGGGCAGCGUCUGCCAGGGGCACAGUGUCCAGAGCUGGCCGGCUUCGAAACAGCCGGGACUUAUUACGAUUAUUAUUUGUUUAUUUUCUAAUUUCUUUUACUUUUGUUUUUGAAACGAUUCUUUUUACAUUUCGUUUUUAUUCCACUUUCUCCAGUUUGUAUUCUAUUUUCAUUCCGUUUCCGUACAUUCCGGGCUCAACACGUUGAGCACUUUCCCCUCGCACACCGCUCCGAGCUUUCAUUCUCGUUCCAUCCGUCUCCAGGCGGCCAGCUCGGAGGUCCCGAGCACGUUAUUUCCCUCCCACCAGCCUCCGAGAGCGGAUUUUUAGUUACUUGUUGUUUCGUUCUGUUUGCCUCGCUUUGCGGAGGUAACUGUAAAACCACUCAGAGGCUGAGAGUUGCAUCGCAUUUUCCUGGAAAGCCAUAAAACUGUCUCAUUCCCCGAUGCUCCUUGAUUAACUUACGAGCAUAAAGGAAAUGCUUGAAUAGUGUUCCCUCUGUGAUUUUCUUUCGGCGAGGGGAAGCUGAGGGAAGAUGCUAAUAUUGUCAUCUUAUUUUACAAUUUAUACCUUCUGCCCAAACGGUGCACACACAGCCUAAGGCACAGCGGGGUUCAGCUUCUUAAAUGCAGCCCAUAUAUUUCAGCGCCUGGAGAGCUGCACAGGCAAAUAACUCAGCCUGCUUUUACAAGGCUGGCUGCUAUUGAAACAAACAGGGUGACCCGGAGCUGCUCAGAAGAGGUCCAGCUAAUGGGAUGUGCCAGUGCUGCGUGCAGAUCCCCAUACACCAGUCCCAAAUACCAUCCCCACCCCAUACACCAUUCCCACACAUCAACCCCAUGCUCCAGCCCCUCUGCUCGCCCCAUGCAGGCUCCCCCAGCACUAACAAUCUUCACAUGGUUCCUUGGCUCCUCCACGCAAGCGCCAUGUGCUUACACUUAACUUUAUCUCCAGUACAUGUGGAUCUCUGCGUGUACGUAUGUGCUGGAAACACAUGGCCAGCCUUUUUAUAUAUAUAUUGAUUAAGCCUCAGCCAGUGAGGUUUUGUAAGGAAUAUUCAGCUCAUCUGCAAAAGUCUUUGGUCAGAACCAAGCAAAAAGGGCACAAACGCUGCUCCUCACAGAACACUGGAAGUUGCUAGAUGCACUUUGGCUCAUAAAUGAAUAGCUGAUUUAUUCUUCAAUCGGGACAAAGCCAUUAAGGUUUGCUCAGCCCUGGUCUAUGGGAAAAUAACUCCUUUGAUGGAACUCCCCCCCCAGACUCCCUGAAGCUCUCUCUGCUGCAGGAGCAGCACUUCUUCCUGCCUUUGGGUGGAAGGGAGAGCUGGACCUCCAAAGAAAUGCAGCUCUCUAGCCUCUUGAAUUUCACUUUGUAUCCUUCCCUCUACCUGCUCAGCUAAUUCUUUGCAUUCGGGACCUGUCCAAACCCACCCAGAGAAAACUACAGAAUAAUGAGAGCGGUGCAUCAUCAUUUAUCAGCUCUUUCUUCCUUGCUGGUGGCCAAUAUUGCAGCUCUAAAGGAAACAGCCUUGUGAGGGGGGGCUGAAAGAAAGGCACGGAAAGAAAUUCAAUCUGAGGAAUGAGAGGAAUGGAUAAAAAAAAAAAAGUAAAAAAUAAAAAAAGCCAUGCUGAUGACUUUUUCA
This is a long non-coding RNA of Coturnix japonica (Japanese quail), 2563 nucleotides long. The record is from Ensembl. NCBI's taxonomy places the organism in Eukaryota, Metazoa, Chordata, Aves, Galliformes, Phasianidae.